GCCAGACUCCUACGGGAGGCAGCAGUGGGGGAUAUUGCACAAUGGGGGAAACCCUGAUGCAGCGACGCCGCGUGAGUGAAGAAGUAUUUCGGUAUGUAAAGCUCUCUCAGCAGGGACGAAAAUGACGGUACCUGAGUAAGAAGCCCCGGCUAACUACGUGCCAGCAGCCGCGGUAAUACGUAGGGGGCAAGCGUUAUCCGGAAUUACUGGGUGUAAAGGGAGCGUAGGCGGCAAGGUAAGUAAGAUGUGAAAGCCCGCAGCUUAACUGCGAGGAUUGCAUUUUAAACUAUCUAGCUUGAGUACAGGAGAGGUAAGCGGAAUUCCUAGUGUAGCGGUGAAAUGCGUAGAUAUUAGGAAGAACACCAGUGGCGAAGGCGGCUUACUGGACUGUAACUGACGCUGAGGCUCGAAAGCGUGGGGAGCGAACAGGAUUAGAUACCCUUGUACG
RNAcentral lists this ribosomal RNA (448 nucleotides) under uncultured bacterium. RNAcentral describes it as "bacterial SSU rRNA". It matches the Rfam family "Bacterial small subunit ribosomal RNA", at positions 330 to 793 of the family's 1533-position model. The record is from RNAcentral.